GCAAAACGCGAAGAACCUUACCAGGGCUUAAAUGGGAGAUGAAUAAUUUGGAAACAGAUUAGCCUUCGGGCAUCUUUCAAGGUGCUGCAUGGCUGUCGUCAGCUCGUGCCGUGAGGUGUUGGGUUAAGUCCCGCAACGAGUGCAACCCCUAUCUUUAGUUGCCAGCGAGUUAAGUCGGGGACGUCUAAAGAAACUGCCUACGCAAGCAGAGAGGAAGGCGGGGACGGACGUCAAGUCAUCACGGCCCGUUACCGUCCUGGGCCACACACGUGCUACAAUGGUUGGUACAGAGGGCAGCUACCGGGUGACCGGAUGCGAAUUUCUAAAGCCAAUCUCAGUUCGGAUUGGAGUCUGCAACUCGACUCUAUGAAGCUGGAAUCGCUAGUAAUCGCGCAUCAGCCAUGGCGCGGUGAAUACGUUCCCGGGUCUUGUACACACCG
This 440-nucleotide ribosomal RNA is filed under the name uncultured bacterium. Its description in RNAcentral is "bacterial SSU rRNA". It matches the Rfam family "Bacterial small subunit ribosomal RNA", at positions 954 to 1392 of the family's 1533-position model. The record is from RNAcentral.